RNAcentral lists this ribosomal RNA (1255 nucleotides) under uncultured bacterium. RNAcentral's name for it is "partial 16S ribosomal RNA". It matches the Rfam family "Bacterial small subunit ribosomal RNA", at positions 161 to 1399 of the family's 1533-position model. The record is from RNAcentral.
UGCUACUACCGGAUAACAGCGCUUGACGCCUGUCUAUAGUUUGAACCAUGGUUCUGCUAUCACUCUUGGAUGGACCUGCAGUGCAUUUACCUAGUUGGUAAGGUAACGGCUUACCAAGGCAAUGAUGCAUUAGCCGAGUUGAGAGACUGAUCGGCCACAUUGGGACUGAGACACGGCCCAAACUCCUACGGGAGGCAGCAGUAGGGAAUCUUCCACAAUGGACGAAAGUCUGAUGGAGCAACGCCGCGUGAGUGAAGAAGGGUUUCGGCUCGUAAAGCUCUGUUGGUAGUGAAGAAAGAUAGAGGUAGUAACUGGCCUUUAUUUGACGGUAAUUACUUAGAAAGUCACGGCUAACUACGUGCCAGCAGCCGCGGUAAUACGUAGGUGGCAAGCGUUGUCCGGAUUUAUUGGGCGUAAAGCGAGUGCAGGCGGUUCAAUAAGUCUGAUGUGAAAGCCUUCGGCUCAACCGGAGAAUUGCAUCAGAAACUGUUGAACUUGAGUGCAGAAGAGGAGAGUGGAACUCCAUGUGUAGCGGUGGAAUGCGUAGAUAUAUGGAAGAACACCAGUGGCGAAGGCGGCUCUCUGGUUUGCAACUGACGCUGAGGCUCGAAAGCAUGGGUAGCGAACAGGAUUAGAUACCCUGGUAGUCCAUGCCGUAAACGAUGCAGUGCUAAGUGUUGGGAGGUUUCCGCCUCUCUAGUGCUGCAGCUAACUGCACUAAGCAUUCCGCGUGGGGAGUAAGUCAGCACGGUCGAAACUCAAAGGAAUUGUCGGGGGCUCGCUCUAGCGGAGGAGCAUAUGGUUUAAUUCGAAGCACCGUGAAGAACCUUGCCAGGUCUUUACAUCCAGUGCUAACCUAAGAGAUAAGGUGUUCCCUUCGGGCAUGCUGAGACAGGUGGGGCAGGGUUGUAGUCAGAUCGUGUCGGGAGAGUUUGUGUUAUGUCCCGCAAAGAGCGCCACCCUUGUCAUUAGUCGCCAUCAAUAAGUUGGGCCCUCUAAGGACCAUCCCGGAGACAAACCGGAGGAAUGUGGGGAAGACGUCAAGUCAUCAUGCCCUUUAUGUCCUGGGCUACACUCGUGUUACAAUGGACGGUACAAUGAGAAGGGAACGUGAGAAGGCAAGCGGUUCUCUGUAAGCCGUUCUCAGUUAUGUAUGUUGGUUGCAACUAACCUACAAGAAGAUGGAAUCGAUAGUAAUCGCGGAUCAGCAAGCAGCGGUGAAUACGUUCCUGGUCCUGGCACUCACCGCCCUUCA